Molecule: non-coding RNA, 94 nt
Organism: Epithele typhae
Lineage: Eukaryota; Fungi; Basidiomycota; Agaricomycetes; Polyporales; Epitheliaceae
Source: the annotation of a RefSeq genome assembly
GGCCUGGUGGUCUAGUAGUAUGAUUCCUUCUUAGGGUCCCUGUAACAAGGUCAACAUUUGGAGGAGGUCCCGGGUUCAAUUCCCGGCCAGGCCC